RNAcentral lists this ribosomal RNA (253 nucleotides) under uncultured bacterium. Its description in RNAcentral is "partial 16S ribosomal RNA". It matches the Rfam family "Bacterial small subunit ribosomal RNA", at positions 524 to 776 of the family's 1533-position model. The record is from RNAcentral.
UACGUAGGGUGCGAGCGUUGUCCGGAAUUACUGGGCGUAAAGAGCUCGUAGGUGGUUUGUCGCGUUGUUCGUGAAAUCUCACGGCUUAACUGUGAGCGUGCGGGCGAUACGGGCAGACUGGAGUACUGCAGGGGAGACUGGAAUUCCUGGUGUAGCGGUGGAAUGCGCAGAUAUCAGGAGGAACACCGGUGGCGAAGGCGGGUCUCUGGGCCGAUACUGACGCUGAGGAGCGAAAGCGUGGGGAGCAAACAGG